Molecule: small RNA, 843 nt
Filed under: uncultured Pyrenophora
Lineage: Eukaryota; Fungi; Ascomycota; Dothideomycetes; Pleosporales; Pleosporaceae
Description: eukaryotic LSU rRNA
Rfam family: Eukaryotic large subunit ribosomal RNA (bases 561-843)
Source: RNAcentral
CUUGGUCAUUUAGAGGAAGUAAAAGUCGUAACAAGGUCUCCGUAGGUGAACCUGCGGAGGGAUCAUUACACAAAUAUGAAGCCGGACUGGGAUAGGGCCUCGCUGCCUUGCCCGUCUGGCGCCAUAUUCACCCAUGUCUUUUUGCGUACUACUUGUUUCCUUGGCGGGUCCGCCCGCCAAUUGGACCUUAUUCAAACCUUUUUUUCAGUUGCAAUCAGCGUCAGCAAAACAAAUGUAAUCAAUUACAACUUUCAACAACGGAUCUCUUGGUUCUGGCAUCGAUGAAGAACGCAGCGAAAUGCGAUAAGUAGUGUGAAUUGCAGAAUUCAGUGAAUCAUCGAAUCUUUGAACGCACAUUGCGCCCUUUGGUAUUCCAAAGGGCAUGCCUGUUCGAGCGUCAUUUGUACCCUCAAGCUUUGCUUGGUGUUGGGCGUCUUGUCUCUCUCCCGAGACUCGCCUUAAAAUCAUUGGCAGCCGGCCUACUGGUUUCGGAGCGCAGCACAUUAUUUGCGCUCUUGUCCAGCCGCGGUCGCGCGUCCAUGAAGCUUCUUUCAACCUUUUGACCUCGGAUCAGGUAGGGAUACCCGCUGAACUUAAGCAUAUCAAUAAGCGGAGGAAAAGAAACCAACAGGGAUUGCCCUAGUAACGGCGAGUGAAGCGGCAACAGCUCAAAUUUGAAAUCUGGCUCUUUUAGAGUCCGAGUUGUAAUUUGCAGAGGGCGCUUUGGCUUUGGCAGCGGUCCAAGUUCCUUGGAACAGGACGUCACAGAGGGUGAGAAUCCCGUACGUGGUCGCUAGCUAUUGCCGUGUAAAGCCCCUUCGACGAGUCGAGUUGUUUGGGAAU